Molecule: ribosomal RNA, 560 nt
Filed under: fungal sp. BSWY1-1
Lineage: Eukaryota; Fungi
Description: eukaryotic LSU rRNA
Rfam family: 5.8S ribosomal RNA (bases 183-336)
Source: RNAcentral
GCGGGCUGGACACCCCCCGCUGGGCACUGCUUCACGGCGUGCGCGGCGGGGCCGGCCCUGCUGAAUUAUUCACCCGUGUCUUUUGCGUACUUCUUGUUUCCUGGGUGGGCUCGCCCGCCCUCAGGACCAACCACAAACCUUUUGCAAUAGCAAUCAGCGUCAGUAACAACGUAAUUAAUUACAACUUUCAACAACGGAUCUCUUGGUUCUGGCAUCGAUGAAGAACGCAGCGAAAUGCGAUACGUAGUGUGAAUUGCAGAAUUCAGUGAAUCAUCGAAUCUUUGAACGCACAUUGCGCCCUUUGGUAUUCCAAAGGGCAUGCCUGUUCGAGCGUCAUUUGUACCCUCAAGCUUUGCUUGGUGUUGGGCGUCUUUUGUCUCCAGUUCGCUGGAGACUCGCCUUAAAGUCAUUGGCAGCCGGCCUACUGGUUUCGGAGCGCAGCACAAGUCGCGCUCUUUGCCAGCCAAGGUCAGCGUCCAGCAAGCCUUUUUUUCAACCUUUGACCUCGGAUCAGGUAGGGAUACCCGCUGAACUUAAGCAUAUCAAUAGCCCGGAGGAAA